Molecule: long non-coding RNA, 199 nt
Filed under: Elaeis guineensis (African oil palm)
Lineage: Eukaryota; Viridiplantae; Streptophyta; Magnoliopsida; Arecales; Arecaceae
Description: long non-coding RNA (EGUI_LNC028543)
Source: RNAcentral
AUCAAGUAUAUCAUAAUUUAGUAAUCUUAAUCCAUAGAACUUGUGAAAACAAAUAACUGCAGCCAAUGAAUAGAGCAGGCGGAAAUUUUAAAAAGUCAAUAAGGGGGAUGGAUUCAUAACUAACUUGAGUAAUAUGGAAUUGAAAAAGGAAGGGCAAAAAAGGGUAAACAAAAUUUACGGUACCCAAAGAGAAGAGGAC